CAGCAGACACAUUCCAGCCAAUCAGCAGCAGACCCUGCCUCCCAGACCCUACCACCUCCUGGACAGCAUCCAUUUUACAUUCAUUGUGAACUUGCAUUCUUAGUGAGCUGUCCAGGAGGUGGGAGGGUCUGGGAGGGAGGGUCUGCUGCUGAUUGGCUGGAAUGUGUCUCCUG
Molecule: microRNA precursor, 173 nt
Filed under: Pelobates cultripes (western spadefoot toad)
Lineage: Eukaryota; Metazoa; Chordata; Amphibia; Anura; Pelobatidae
Source: RNAcentral